AUGUCUCUUGAACAGGUGUUUCAUGCUUGUUGUGGAGUUCAUGGAGACUGUACUCGCAAUUUUUCUACUUCGGCAGCUCACGAUCAUCUAUGGCUUCUGCACAUGUAACUCAUUUUUGUGGAAAUAUAACCAAUUCUGAUUUACUCCCUUCCCAACAGGAAGAAGUAAGAGAAUUCAGUGAGUUGGUUUUCAGGCCAAUUUGCAUCUAUCAGAAGAUCUGAAGCCAUCCCUCGGCGUGUCACUGCGCUUUCACGUGUAGCUCUUGUAUGAUAUCCCUAGAAGGGCAUUGAACGCAUCUUGACAUCGUCUUUCUUGAUGAACAGGCCUACUAAAAACUUAUUAAUAUAACGUCCUUGUGUUUUACACUGAUCUUCUAUCGAAACAAUAUGUAUGGAGAGGUAAGUGUGAUGAAUGCAAAAAAUAUUCAGGGAAAACUCAAGGAGGGCAAUGUUUUCCUCUUCAACGAGUCCUUUGUGAAAGUAGCAAAGAACAUGUAUAAGGUUGUGGAAGCAAGUUCCAUGAAAAUAACUCCAUGGUCAGUUUAGGCACAACCUUAUGUCCCUAUCAAUUAUCCUGAUUAUGCAUGUUCACUCACCAAUUUUAUACCUCUACCCUCUAUGGUUGGAAAGACAAAUAGGCAAGGAAAAUCUACUUUAGUGCAUGCACAAUUAUUCCUUUGUUCCCUCCACUUUGCUGCUUUAUUAUCUUUCUGGUCCAUUAUCAUGCUCAUGUUUCAAUGUGCAGUUGUCGAAAUAGUUUCGGUGAUUUCAGAUCUCUUUUAAGGUUUGACUGCCUGCUCGAGCCCAGGAUUCUGACAAAAGUAACCUCCAGAUAACAGAUAAUGAGUAUGCUUUCUCAUCUAAAUUACGUGACCAUCUAUUAUCUUCUAACUUCCAUAAGAGUCACAAGACUAUCUAUUAUCCUCUGAACUCUCACUAUAAUAGCUGAAUCGCAUGUACUUAGUGUAUAUAAUCAUGUCUCAGAUUACCGACUAUAGAGUCAUUAUCCUCUGAACUCUCACUACAUUAGCUGAAUCGCAUGUAACUUAGUGUAUAUAAUCAUGUCUCAGAUUACCGACUACAGAGUCAUUAUCAUAAUUGUCGGCGACAAGUUAUAACUAAAAGUAACUAUAUUUGUGAUCUCUGAACUUUUCCAAUGACAGGUGAAUACUAGCUAGCACCAACAGAAUUGAGAUUAUGUUGAUCUCUCGUGCACAUGGUCACGUACUUAGUACACCAGUAUAGUCCUCUCUCAAAUUAUAAAGUACUCCCUCUGUUCCGAAAUGUAAGUCGUUUAAGGGUUUGACGUGUAAAUUUCGUAACGCUACGAGAAUUUUUCACUUUCCAGAAAUGCCCUCCCACCACCGCUCGCUCUCACCCACUCGAGCUCACUCUCUCGUUCCCCUCUCACCCACCCGGCCACCCCUCUCUCGCUCCCCUCCAGAUCCCCGUCGUCGCCGGCCUCUCCUCGCCAUCGUCACCGCUGAGCCACCCCGCUUCCUCUCUUUCUCCGCACCACCGAGCCACCCUGUUUCCUCCCACCGCCAGAAAUCCACCACCCGUAGGUCAAAAGCUUGAUUUUUUAGGCGCCGGCGAUGAGCUUCUGGCCGGCGGAGGCGCUGGAUCCGCGUGCUUCAAUGCCGGCGACGAAGCGACAUGGAUCCGGGCGGGAUGCUGCUGGAGGACUUCGGGCUGUGGGUGGACCUGGUGCGGCGCAUCUGCGAGGUGCUGGCCAACUACCCGGAGGGCACCACCGCGCUGCGGGACGCCGGGAGCUCAUCCAGAACGCCGACGAUGCCGGGGCCUCGUGCGUCCGCCUCUGCCUCGACCGCCGCGCCCAUGGGUCCCGCUCGCUGCUCGCCCCCGCGCUUGCACAGUGUACGCCAGCAACGACGCCGCCUUCACCGACGAAGAGUUCGCCAGCAUCCCCCGCAUCGGCGGCCGCAAGAAGUCCUCCCAGGCCUGGAAGACCGGCAGCAAGAUGGGCGCUAGCUACACUCUCUAUCGCUGCCGAGCUCUGCUUCGAGCUGCUGCUCUUUCAAUUUGAGCUGCGCUAGCUAAGCUCUUUCAAUCUGAACCAAUUGUUUUAAAGAAGGGCUAAUGAAAAAAGAUGUGUGAGGGUAUCAGUCAUUCUCAUGCCGGCAUGCUGCACUUUUCAGCUAGCAGAUGCAGAGCGAGUACUGGGCGAGGAGAUGAACCUAGGCGAGCAAAAUUGAGAACUCCGGCUGGAGCAGCUCCUGUCCAGCGGCGAGGACUUCAGCGGCAGCAGCACCUGUGCGUGGGGAGGAACAGCACCUGGGCGCGUGCAGGCGGCAGCUCGCCUCCAACAGUGGGCGGCAGCAGAGCACCAGCUCGCCACCACCAGGGGCCGGCAGCAGAGCACCAGCUCGCCUCCACCAGCGGGCGGCAGCAGAGCACCACCUGGGCACGCGCGGGCCAGGAGGGGCCCCUGGGCGUGGGAGAGGAGGAGCGCCUGGGCAGGGGUGGAGGUGGAGGGCGGGGGAGGAGGCGGAGGUGGAAGGCGGGGAUGGAGGCGGAGGUGGAAGACGCCGAGGAAGAAGACGGGCUGAUUCAAAGUUUGAACUGGGGGCAUAAAGGUCCAUUUGCCCAUUUUCACCUGGUCGGAACAUAUUCCCCAGCGACUUACAUUUCGGAACGGAGGGAGUACUUUAUUUCUUCACUGCACCAACAUAUCUCAAAAAUUUAUGGGCAAAAAACGCCACUGCCAGCCAGCCAACAGACACCGGAAGAUCCAAAUUGCACUUGUCAAUAAUGCUUCCAGUAGCACAAACAAGAAAAAGGCAAAAAGGUAAAUAGCCACAUUAUACUAAACUCCCUGUUCAAGAUUCUAUUUUUCAACGUACAUAUAUAUUAACACCUAUCUUCAUGAUUUACAAUUCUGCAACUGACACAAUCAAGACCUCUUCUUCAAAAAAGAAACUUCAUCUCCUUGAGCAAAGAUUGGCUCAUCUACUUUGGGAGCUAUUAAAUAAAUGGACAUGUUAUGAUUGUGACCACCCUUUUUGGAUGUUUUACUUAUGUCGUCUGCCUGCGACAACUAUCACCGGGUUACGUGAUAAGACUUUGUGUUUGCCAAUUCCGGCUUAUCUGUACUGUGUUUUCAGAGAACCAUUGCUCCUGUCUGAACUGAAUUAUCCAAGACUUCCAUCUCUACAAUCACCCUUAUUUAUCCUCUAAAGUGAUGUUUCUGUUCUUUGCUACAUUAUGAUCCCGUGUCUCUAUUUCUAUUACUGUGGUAAAUCUGGAUAGUUGCCCUAUUAUCAGCCUCUCUGUUUUUUACCGGUGAGCAGCUGCUACAUCUUUUAUCAUAAUGGUCUCUUGUAUUA
Molecule: long non-coding RNA, 3346 nt
Organism: Triticum aestivum (bread wheat)
Lineage: Eukaryota; Viridiplantae; Streptophyta; Magnoliopsida; Poales; Poaceae
Exons: 4
Source: RefSeq, a predicted model, not a curated record